This 930-nucleotide ribosomal RNA is filed under the name Escherichia coli. RNAcentral's name for it is "bacterial SSU rRNA". It matches the Rfam family "Bacterial small subunit ribosomal RNA", at positions 50 to 994 of the family's 1533-position model. Lineage: Bacteria; Pseudomonadati; Pseudomonadota; Gammaproteobacteria; Enterobacterales; Enterobacteriaceae. The record is from RNAcentral.
GCCACCAUGCAAUCGAACGGUAACAGAAGAAGCUUGCUCUUUGCUGACGAGUGGCGGACGGGUGAGUAAUGUCUGGGAAACUGCCUGAUGGAGGGGGAUAACUACUGGAAACGGUAGCUAAUACCGCAUAACGUCGCAAGACCAAAGAGGGGGACCUUCGGGCCUCUUGCCAUCGGAUGUGCCCAGAUGGGAUUAGCUAGUAGGUGGGGUAACGGCUCACCUAGGCGACGAUCCCUAGCUGGUCUGAGAGGAUGACCAGCCACACUGGAACUGAGACACGGUCCAGACUCCUACGGGAGGCAGCAGUGGGGAAUAUUGCACAAUGGGCGCAAGCCUGAUGCAGCCAUGCCGCGUGUAUGAAGAAGGCCUUCGGGUUGUAAAGUACUUUCAGCGGGGAGGAAGGGAGUAAAGUUAAUACCUUUGCUCAUUGACGUUACCCGCAGAAGAAGCACCGGCUAACUCCGUGCCAGCAGCCGCGGUAAUACGGAGGGUGCAAGCGUUAAUCGGAAUUACUGGGCGUAAAGCGCACGCAGGCGGUUUGUUAAGUCAGAUGUGAAAUCCCCGGGCUCAACCUGGGAACUGCAUCUGAUACUGGCAAGCUUGAGUCUCGUAGAGGGGGGUAGAAUUCCAGGUGUAGCGGUGAAAUGCGUAGAGAUCUGGAGAAUACCGGUGGCGAAGGCGGCCCCCUGGACGAAGACUGACGCUCAGGUGCGAAAGCGUGGGGAGCAGACGGGAUUAUAUACCCUGGUAGUCCACGCCAUAACGAUGUCUACUUGGAGGUUGUGCCCUUGAGGCGUGCUUCCGAGCUAACGCGUUAAGUCAACCGCCUGGGGAGUACGGCCGAACGUUAAAUUCAAUGAAUUGAAGGGGCCCGCCAGAGCGGUGAGAUGUGUUUAUUCGAUGCACCGCCUACCUGUUGACGAGUUGCGU